GAUGAACGCUGGCGGCGUGCCUAAUACAUGCAAGUCGAACGCUUCACUUCGGUGAAGAGUGGCGAACGGGUGAGUAAUACAUAAGUAACCUGGCAUCUACAGGGGGAUAACUGAUGGAAACGUCAGCUAAGACCGCAUAGGUGUAGAGAUCGCAUGAACUCUAUAUGAAAAGUGCUACGGGACUGGUAGAUGAUGGACUUAUGGCGCAUUAGCUUGUUGGUAGGGUAACGGCCUACCAAGGCGACGAUGCGUAGCCGACCUGAGAGGGUGACCGGCCACACUGGGACUGAGAACCGGCCCAGACUCCUACGGGAGGCAGCAGUAGGGAAUUUUCGGCAAUGGGGGAAACCCUGACCGAGCAACGCCGCGUGAAGGAAGAAGUAAUUCGUUAUGUAAACUUCUGUCAUAGAGGAAGAACGGUGGAUAUAGGGAAUGAUAUCCAAGUGACGGUACUCUAUAAGAAAGCCACGGCUAACUACGUG
Molecule: ribosomal RNA, 482 nt
Filed under: uncultured bacterium
Lineage: Bacteria
Description: partial 16S ribosomal RNA
Rfam family: Bacterial small subunit ribosomal RNA
Source: RNAcentral